UGUCAGCAGUCACCGGGAACCGGCCGGGACACCGCCAGCUCCACUUGAUUAUAAAGUCCCAAAGUCCUGCAGACCUGCUGCUGAGCGACUGCCAAACGGUCGGUGAGAGUUCCGUGACCUACUUGGAGGUAAAAGUUUAAAAAAAAUAAAAUAAAGAGCGCUGCUUAUUUGGAAACAUCCAUCCAUUUGCGCGCAACAAGAGGAGUACAACAACAAGAACAGAAAGAAAAAAAAAGUGAGGACGCAUGGACACGAGGGACCAGAGGGGAGGAUUAGGGAGAAUCUGUGGAACUAAAAUGACCAACGUGGCGCCAGCAGCGGAGCCAAAGACCCGCCUCUGAAGUCUAGAUGUGACCGUCGAGCCGGCCAUGGAGAACGAUCUGAGGACGGGCCUGUCUGUGUGGGCCAUCGUGGCCAUUGUUUGUAACUCUGUGGUUGGCAUCCUCAUCCUCGUCCUCUUCGUCAUCCUCUACAAGGCCUGCAAGGUGCCUUCACACCCGGAGAAAAUGCCAGUUUUCACAGCGAAACUGGACCAGAAGAACCCUGAAGAGAAGUACAUACUCACUGCAGCCUAAUCAAGAUUUGAAGACAUAACCUUGAGAUGCAGAGAAAAUCCAACUUUGGAAAUAUAAUGGAGUUCAUAAGAUGAGUUUAAGAUAACCAGCUGGGCUUCGGCAGCUCAUUCAUACAAGUCCCUGUUUUCACUCACUGUCUCCUUUUGGGCUUCGUUCUAUUUUCAUCUCUCCGCCAUCAUCCCAAUCUCAUCUGUGCCAUUCAGCAGAGCUCGGAGUAAGCUAACUGCAUUAAGAGUUGCAGCAAGACCAACAGCAACAACAAGCAAGCCCAAUCCUCUUAUCUCUGCUGUGCGUCGCUGGGACUGUCCAUCUGUCAGUUAGUUUGGUUCACUCUGCACAGGCCGACCAUGAUCUCCUCCUCUGCUCCAUUCUUUUUCAUCCCUCCGUACGAGACAGCUGAGUGGGUAUGGAAGGAAAACAGCAGAGGCAACUGGACUGAAGGAGCUAGAGGUCACAAGAUUGGUUGAGAGUCACAAUAAAAAAUAGUUGGAAAAGAGAAAAGAUAGCUCGCAAAGCAGUUUGGUUUGGUAAUCAUGGCAGCAGCGGAGCGGCAAACAAACAAAAGGUAGACUAAAAGCUUAAGCGACGCAGGAAGAAGAGAGAGGUUGUUGCAGGAAGUGUGUGAUUCAAGACAGACGGAGAUAAAGUUAGGUUUACAUUUGGUGGGGAUGAUAAAGUGCAGGGGAUGAAUUGGAAAAAGGGGAUGCUUUGAUGUGUUGUUGACAGAAAAAAGGAGCUGGAGGGUCCUGUCUGACAGUCUCCCCAUUCGACACACAAGCCUCUGCUUCCACCGAUUCAACUCCCAUGGGAUUAAAAAGUAACAGCAAAAAAAAUGUUAGUCAUGUCCCGGUGUGCCUCCCUUUUAUCCUGUGAGCUCUUCUAAAGACUGAAUAAGGUAUUUAUAGACAGCCAUCAUCAGAAACGACUGACUGACAGAACACUCGGUCUCACACAUACAGCCGAAUCUUGUGUUUAUUGUAGUGAUGUGCAGCUAGCAGUGUGGUAUCAAGAUUACGUUCAGGACCGAAGCGAGAAAAUAUCAAACCCAUCAUAAUUUCAUCUCCACAUCAGAGUAAAAAAUAAUGGUCUAUUUGUACAGUAAAUACUAUUUUCAUUAAUGGAAGGGCUCUACGUGGAUUUUUUAAUUAAAAUUUUGUUUGAGGAACAUCUGUUGUAAUCUAAUCUCAGGUUAACGUGCUUUUUCAAUUUGAUAAAAAUGAGCACAUUUUAUUUUCCGUGCAGUUCUGCUUAAUUUACAGGUUAUUUCUGUACAACUUGUGAUGAUGAGCAGUGAUUCAUGCGAAAAAGACCGCUUGUUUAAUUGAUUAAUCAGAUUAAAAAAUGUAAGAAAUGUCUGUGAAAGUUUAAAAUGCAGUUUCUUGUGUGUGCGGAUUUGCUGAUGUUCUUUUCAGUUCCAUAUCACUGUAAACUGUAGAAUUCUGUUUUUGUUCAGACUUGAAGGCAUAACUUCUGAUCUGUUAUUAUAUUUAUUUUUCUGGGCAAAAUGAUUAAUAUUAUAUACAGAAUAUUUAACAGCACUGAUCUUGGAAAUAAUUCUUUGUUGCAGCCCUACACUUGUAUGUAAUUGCCAUUGUGCUCUACGCCUUGUAAUGAUGGCAGUUUAUUUUUUUACCAACAAAAUAAAACGAUUUACUCUUGUUUAUAA
Molecule: long non-coding RNA, 2241 nt
Organism: Stegastes partitus (bicolor damselfish)
Lineage: Eukaryota; Metazoa; Chordata; Actinopteri; Pomacentridae
Exons: 2
Source: RefSeq, a predicted model, not a curated record